AAGAUUGACAGUGACAGUGAAAACGAUCAAGACUCUGUCUGCCAAGUUUGCAGGUUCCUAUUCCACUCUCUCCUGAUUUCCAAGGCUCGGUUUCUGAGCGCCUAUAGGCAGAAAGAAGAGUUGAGGAGCCCGGAAUGUUCACCAUGCCAGCGGACUGGCUUGCUGCGAGGCAGGUGGCCGCGGCAGAACCGGUUGGGAUGAGUUACGGCACCACCUCGGAUUCUGGGAUUCCCGCACUACUUUGCGGCUCUUCCUGCGCUCCAGAGCGCUCCUUUGAAACGAGCGCAAAAGGCACAAAUUUUGAGUAGCUAAACUCGUUUGCCCGAGACAGCAGCGCUUAGACAGACAAGCCGGGAGCGGAGAGCUUGCCUUGCUCCCCGUGGGUACGCUGCCAAAGUGGCGCUUGAUCGUUAGUGAAAAAAAAAAAAGACGGAGCGAUAUGGCUCAGUCCGGCGUUUGCAGGGGGAAGCAGACGAUUGCGAGUGAAGGCCCCAUGAGUCCAGCU
This 505-nucleotide long non-coding RNA is filed under the name Bos taurus (domestic cattle). RNAcentral describes it as "long non-coding RNA NONBTAT023534". The record is from RNAcentral. Lineage: Eukaryota; Metazoa; Chordata; Mammalia; Artiodactyla; Bovidae.